This is a long non-coding RNA of Lolium rigidum, 590 nucleotides long. RefSeq lists it as uncharacterized. The transcript has 5 exons. The record is from RefSeq and is a predicted model, not a curated record. Lineage: Eukaryota; Viridiplantae; Streptophyta; Magnoliopsida; Poales; Poaceae.
CUCUUGUCGACGUCUUCUGACGACCACAUCCCCAACAAAUUGAUACGAGUAACUGAAAAUGCUAUGUAUAUAGAACAUGGAUGGCUGAAUAUACUUUUAUGCUAGGCCAAGUAGCAAACGAGAAGCAGAAAAUCCAAGGUCUGAAUUAUGUAGGGAAACUGGAGGGUCCACUUCUAAUCUUGGCUUGAAGUCCAUUUUUGUCGGAUACACAAAGUUACUCGUUUCUCUUUCACAUUAGGUUGUUCCUGCUGCAAGGGUGCGUUGUGUGGUCAAGGCCAAUGGAACCUGCUGCCAGGCGUAAGUGAUCACCUACAACAGCAACAACUGCAGUCUCAGCCACAAAUCCCCGCUGGUCAGCCUCGGUCCACAUGGAGCUGCUGCAGGCGUCUUCUCACGACCACGUCCCCGAGCAAUUGCUAUGAGUAACUGAAAAAAAGUGUAUCCCGAUCCACAGAAGAUUGUGCAGCACCACAGGAACGAUGAAAGGUUACGGUAGACGGAAGAAAGAAAUUUGAGUGUGACCAGCUUCGUCGGCAUGUUGAGGAAGAGGUUAUUUCCGUACUAAAAUGCGCACUCCAGGGCGUACCUUU